UACGGAGGGUGCGAGCGUUGUCCGGAAUCACUGGGCGUAAAGGGCGCGUAGGCGGCCUGAUAAGUAGGGGGUGAAAUCCUGCGGCUUAACCGCAGGGCUGCCUUCUAAACUGUCAGGCUCGAGCACAGUAGAGGCAGGUGGAAUUCCCGGUGUAGCGGUGGAAUGCGUAGAGAUCGGGAAGAACAUCAGUGGCGAAGGCGGCCUGCUGGGCUGUUGCUGACGCUGAGGCGCGACAGCGUAGGGAGCAAACAGG
This 253-nucleotide ribosomal RNA is filed under the name uncultured bacterium. RNAcentral's name for it is "partial 16S ribosomal RNA". It matches the Rfam family "Bacterial small subunit ribosomal RNA", at positions 524 to 776 of the family's 1533-position model. The record is from RNAcentral.